RNAcentral lists this ribosomal RNA (407 nucleotides) under Hepatozoon canis. Its description in RNAcentral is "SSU rRNA". It matches the Rfam family "Eukaryotic small subunit ribosomal RNA", at positions 260 to 665 of the family's 1831-position model. The record is from RNAcentral. Lineage: Eukaryota; Apicomplexa; Hepatozoidae.
AGCAAAUCGCAAAGUGAAAACAGGCGAUAAAUCAUUCAAGUUUCUGACCUAUCAGCUUUCGACGGUAUGGUAUUGGCUUACCGUGGCAGUGACGGUUAACGGGGGAUUAGGGUUCGAUUCCGGAGAGGGAGCCUGAGAAACGGCUACCACAUCUAAGGAAGGCAGCAGGCGCGCAAAUUACCCAAUUCUAACAGUUUGAGAGAGGUAGUAACAAGAAAUAACAAUACAAGGCAAUUAAAAUGUUUUGUAAUUGGAAUGAUAGAAAUUUAAACCCUUUUUAAAGUAUCAAUUGGAGGGCAAGUCUGGUGCCAGCAGCCGCGGUAAUUCCAGCUCCAAUAGCGUAUAUUAAAAUUGUUGCAGUUAAGAAGCUCGUAGUUGAAGUUCUGCUAAAAGUAACCGGUCUGCUU